UGUAGCCAGAUGGAGGUCGGUCUCUUCUCCCAGGCAACAAGUGAUAGAUAGGAUGAGAGGACACAGCCUCAGACUGUGCCAGGGGAGGUUUAGAUUGGACAUCAGGAGCAACUUCCUCACAGAAAGAGUCAUUAGAUAUUGGAAUGGGCUGCCCAGGGAGGUGGUGGAGUCACCAUCCCUUGGAGGUGUUAAAGGAAAAAUUGGUGCUUAGUGCUGUGGUGUAGUUGACAUGGUGUUUUUUGGUCAUGGGUUGGACUCGAUGAUCUCAGAGGUCUUUUCCUAUCUAAUUGAUUCUGUGAUUAUGGGGCAACCUUUAAUUCCAAAAUAAAAACCAGGAGUAGUGUCUCCUGGUCCUGGUUUGGGCCAGGACAGGCUUAAUUUUUUGCAGUAGCCUGGAGGCGGCAUGGUCGGGACAUGGAGGUUAUUCUGUACCACCUCGUGGCAUUGCUGGGGGCAGGGAAAAGGGACUGUCCCUUUCAGGAAAAUGGGCUCGUUGCAAGGGAAAGGCAAUCUCACUUCCAUGAAAUGAGAUUUUUUUUUCUUAUGAAUAGUUUCUUUUCUUAUACCCUCUGUCAUUACUAUUGUUGCUAUUCCUGUUAGUUUUCUUAUCUUGUUACUGUUUCCAGUAAAUUGUUCUUAUCUCAACCCGUGAUCUUUGCAUUUUGUACCUCUAAUUCUCAAUUCCAUCCCACCGAAGCAGGAAGGGGAAGAGCACACAGUGCAGUUUUUGGAGAGCCUCGGUGGGGGCACUGAAUUGAGGAGUAUCAUUCCUAAACCACAACACCUGAGGAGAACCUGAAGCUUUGAGAUGGCACAUUGGGAAGCCUAAGCCAACUGUUCCUGCUGUAUGCAUGCCUGAAUUGAUUACAUUGUUCUGUGGAGCUCAGAGACUCUCCUUCCUGUUGGUCUGUCCCUGUGUGAAACAGGAAUUCACAAUACUAGAAUGAGUCAGAAGUGAAAGCCAGAGCCGCUCUCCCGAGCUUGGACAUCAAUUUGGAAACACCUAGAUACCACUCUCAGUCCAAAUGGUUUGUGAGGGCAAGUGUUCCAGCUAAGAUCUUGCAGUUGGACACUUUGCCUUUGCUUGGAUCACUAGCAGCUCUCAUGUCAGGCUCAGAUCUUCAGGGCUAUUUUCAUGAGAUGAAAGAAAUCUUAAUUAAGUGUUCAUAUCUUUGUCAGCCAGACUCAGAAUAAAAAUUGAUGCGAUUCCCUUGA
Neopelma chrysocephalum (saffron-crested tyrant-manakin) is the source of this 1215-nucleotide long non-coding RNA. RefSeq lists it as uncharacterized. The record is from RefSeq and is a predicted model, not a curated record. The transcript has 2 exons. NCBI's taxonomy places the organism in Eukaryota, Metazoa, Chordata, Aves, Passeriformes, Pipridae.